RNAcentral lists this ribosomal RNA (254 nucleotides) under uncultured bacterium. RNAcentral's name for it is "partial 16S ribosomal RNA". It matches the Rfam family "Bacterial small subunit ribosomal RNA", at positions 524 to 776 of the family's 1533-position model. The record is from RNAcentral.
UACGUAGGGGGCUAGCGUUGUCCGGAUUUAUUGGGCGUAAAGAGCGCGUAGGCGGCCGAGUAAGUCCGACGUGAAAUCUGGAGGCUCAACCUCCAGCGGUCGUUGGAAACUACUCGGCUAGAGUCCGGAAGAGGAGAGUGGAAUUCCUGGUGUAGCGGUGAAAUGACGCAGAUAUCAGGAAGAACACCGAUGGCGAAAGCAGCUCUCUGGGACGGUACUGACGCUGAGGCGCGAAAGCGUGGGGAGCGAACAGG